This 389-nucleotide ribosomal RNA is filed under the name Asteia concinna. RNAcentral describes it as "partial 12S ribosomal RNA". The record is from RNAcentral. Lineage: Eukaryota; Metazoa; Arthropoda; Insecta; Diptera; Asteiidae.
GAUACCCUGUUAUUUAAAUUGUAAAUUAUUAAAUUGAAGUAGUAUUAGUUAUGAUCUUAAAAUUUAAAAAAUUUGGCGGUAUUUUAGUCUUUUCAGAGGAACCUGUUUUAUAAUCGAUAAUCCACGUUGUACCUUACUUAAUUUUGUAUUUCAAUUUAUAUACCGUUGUUAUAAGAUUAUUUUAUAAGAAAAAUAAUUUUCAAUAAUUUUUAUAAAAAUUUAUAUCAAAUCAAGGUGUAGUUUAUGAUUAAGUAAAAAUGGGUUACAAUAAAUUUAUUUUUGGAUAUAAAUUUGAAAUUUUUAUUGAAAUUGGAUUUGAUAGUAAAAUUAUAAAGAUAAAUAAUUUGAUUAUAGCUCUAAAAUAUGCACAAAUCGCCCGUCACUCUCUG